Molecule: transfer RNA, 75 nt
Filed under: Rhodospirillales bacterium
Lineage: Bacteria; Pseudomonadati; Pseudomonadota; Alphaproteobacteria; Rhodospirillales
Description: tRNA-Val
Rfam family: tRNA
About the family: Transfer RNA (tRNA) molecules are approximately 80 nucleotides in length. Their secondary structure includes four short double-helical elements and three loops (D, anti-codon, and T loops).
Source: RNAcentral
GGGCGCGUAGCUCAGCGGGAGAGCACCACGUUGACAUCGUGGGGGUCACAAGUUCAAUCCUUGUCGCGCCCACCA